RNAcentral lists this ribosomal RNA (514 nucleotides) under uncultured bacterium. Its description in RNAcentral is "partial 16S ribosomal RNA". It matches the Rfam family "Bacterial small subunit ribosomal RNA", at positions 29 to 523 of the family's 1533-position model. The record is from RNAcentral.
AGCGAACGCUGGCGGCGUGCCUGACACAUGCAAGUCGAACGUGAAAGGGAGCAAUCCUGAGUAAAGUGGCGAACGGGUGAGUAACGCGUAGAUAAUCUACCCUAGAGUCUGGGAUAACCUGCCGAAAGGCGGGCUAAUACUGGAUAGAGCGAGGAACUUAUAGAGGGUUUUUCGGGAAAGGGAGGAAGCAAUUCCCUUCGCUUUAGGAUGAGUUUGCGUCUCAUUAGCUAGUUGGUGGGGUAAAAGCCUACCAAGGCGAUGAUGGGUAGCUGGUCUGAGAGGAUGAUCAGCCACACUGGAACUGAAACACGGUCCAGACUCCUACGGGAGGCAGCAGUGGGGAAUCUUGCGCAAUGGACGAAAGUCUGACGCAGCCACGCCGCGUGAGUGGAGAAGGCCUUCGGGUUGUAAAGCUCUGUCGAACGGGACGAAAAGGGGUGAGGUGAAUAGCCUCAUUCUGUGACGGUACCGUUAGAGGAAGCACCGGCUAACUCCGUGCCAGCAGCCGCCGUAA